CACCAAGUGCUGAACAAAUCAUGGGUAACUCUUUGUCUCUACCGACUGGAGCUACUGCUAGUCCUGACAUUGGCAACCUUCUUCCUCCAAGGCCAAUCAUGAAUUCACUCUAUGAUCCAAAGUUUGAGGAGCUUGGACUGCCAAUUGAUCCCCAUCUGAGGCUAUUUGCUAAGUACAAGAAAUGAGAAUUUUGUGGGGACUUCUCAAGUGUGCUGAUUGAUGUCAACAAGUACAGAGUUCUGAUUUUUAGUGAAUAAAUCUUAGGAGCAAGUUGUUCAAACAUUGGAUGAUAUUUUUAUUAAGAUUUUUAAAUUGCAUUACUUUGCCAGCGUCACCUAUAUUUUGGGCAUGAAAGUUGCAUCAGGAGGUGUCUUUCUCUAUAAAUUGAGUUACCUUUAGUCUGCUUUUAAGUUAUAGAAUUAAGUUGAUGAGUGUAAGAGCUGGUGUAGUUGUCUUCUUGUUGUUGUUGUUUUGGGUGUGUGUUUUUUAUUUGAUGUUUCUUAAUAUUGUAACCUUGUUUUGGGGUGUUUGGAAUUUUAUCAAUUAAAAUUUCAACCUUAGCAAAA
Molecule: long non-coding RNA, 566 nt
Organism: Gossypium arboreum
Lineage: Eukaryota; Viridiplantae; Streptophyta; Magnoliopsida; Malvales; Malvaceae
Exons: 3
Source: RefSeq, a predicted model, not a curated record